RNAcentral lists this ribosomal RNA (253 nucleotides) under uncultured prokaryote. RNAcentral describes it as "partial 16S ribosomal RNA". It matches the Rfam family "Bacterial small subunit ribosomal RNA", at positions 524 to 776 of the family's 1533-position model. The record is from RNAcentral.
UACAGAGGUCUCAAGCGUUGUUCGGAUUCAUUGGGCGUAAAGGGUGCGUAGGCGGCGCGGUAAGUCGGGUGUGAAAUCUCGGGGCUUAACUCCGAAACUGCAUUCGAUACUGCCGUGCUUGAGGACUGGAGAGGAGACUGGAAUUUACGGUGUAGCGGUGAAAUGCGUAGAUAUCUGGAGGAACACCGGUGGCGAAGGCGGCAUUCUGGACCGACAUUGACGCUGAGGAGCGAAAGCCAGGGGAGCAAACGGG